Molecule: transfer RNA, 38 nt
Filed under: Synura petersenii
Lineage: Eukaryota; Synurophyceae; Synurales; Mallomonadaceae
Description: partial tRNA-Asn
Source: RNAcentral
UAAUCACAAUGUCAAAGGUUCAAAUCCUUUUUGAAGAG